CAUCUGUGUACAUUAAUGUUAUAAGACUGGUUAAAUUAUCAAAAGGCAAAUUUUAUUUUAGAUGUUAUAAGCUUAUUACAUGAAUGGGAAAGACAUAAUCAUUUCUCAGAUGUCCAGAGAUUGUACUUAGAGGUUGCCCUUGGUUUCCAUGCUUUUACUGAGACGAAUGUGGAUAGAGAAAGGGCACAUGGUGAACUUUCGGUUUCAGAUUAUGAGCAUGUUCGACAUUAUCUGUUGAAACUGAGUAGUAACUGUAGAAAGAUUGUAUUUGCCUGGAUUGAAGAUGAUGCAAGGAAGCACACAGCCCCAGCCUAAUCAUAUAUGAUUGAGUUAGCAUA
This is a long non-coding RNA of Mytilus californianus (California mussel), 338 nucleotides long. RefSeq lists it as uncharacterized. The transcript is spliced from 5 exons. NCBI's taxonomy places the organism in Eukaryota, Metazoa, Mollusca, Bivalvia, Mytilida, Mytilidae. The record is from RefSeq and is a predicted model, not a curated record.